UUCUUUCUCGUCAUAACAGGUGCCGGCUUGAAAGCCGGAGAAUAGGGAAGUACGUGAGAUUCGUACACUGUACCCGCAACUGUACAACGGUAAACCGCCGAUCAGAGCACAUGACCUUGUGUGCACGAAAAGCGGUCUUUUCAGGUCACUGCGCUGUUUUCCUCCCAGGAAAAGCGCGGGAAGGUCUGAAAAGGAUGUAAACCGUUAAAGUCAGGAGACCUGCCGGUUAUGCUAUUGCAAU
RNAcentral lists this non-coding RNA (241 nucleotides) under Chlorobium limicola. Lineage: Bacteria; Pseudomonadati; Chlorobiota; Chlorobiia; Chlorobiales; Chlorobiaceae. The record is from RNAcentral.